GUGGCGAACGAAAAGGAAUGAGCCCAGCGCAGAACGUUCCGGGGCACUCGCCCUGAGAAUGAAUGUUGCGUUAAGGAUAUUGGCAUACACCCAUGGCAGUUACACUUUGCUAAGUCAGCCUCGAAUGGUUCUCGUGAAGCCGGUAACACGGUGAGACUCCAGGGAGGGUGUUAGACCCGUGUGAAGGUGCAAUCUGCUUGGGCAAGCCGAUAUCCCGAGAGUCGCGUUGUUUGAACAUGCAGCGCUAAGCAGGUCGUAGACUCGAUCUAAGGCUAAAUAUGUCCACAGAACCGAUAGUUAACAAGUACCGUGAGGGAAAGUUGAAAAGCACUCCGUAACGGAGAGUCAAAAGACCGUGAAACCACUCAGAGUAUAAGCCAAUGGUGUCUGGAAGGUCCUGUGCUUACAUCUUGGUGUCAAGGACUCAUGCGAACCUCAGCACUUGCGGGAGCAAUCUCCGUUGCUUUGGUAAGCUUGUCCGCUGAAGCACUCCGUUGACCCACCUGGCUCGUUGUGAGGUGUCCUGAGAGCAAAGCGAAGUGUUAAGAUUGGCUUGGAGUUGGGCGUGGGCGUCUCGAUGCCUUUCGCACUCUCCUUUUCGAGCACUUCUUCAGUUCUAUUCGCACAAAGUGUGGUAGUCUUGGAGUGUGCGCUGCUUGACGCUCUCUGGAACCAUCCUCUGCGACGAAGCUUCAAUGCCUUAGUGAGCGGCCGUCUUCCUCCUCGGGAGUCGGUACAUUGGCGCGGCUUGCACACUGUCGGUGCUCCGCUGUUCAACUCUGGCGCAAGGUGUUACGUCCGAUACCAUUGGUCACGUCUCGAAACACGGGCCAAGGAGUAUAGCGUGUGUGCAAGUCUAAGGGUUCCACAAAACCUGGAGGCGUAGUGAAAGCGAGUUAUGGUGUCUCACUGGACUGAUGGAGAAGGCAGUGAUGCGUGAUCCCGCAAGUCCCGGACUCGUCGUCUGCACUGCUUCGGUUGUGUUAGCGCGAGCACCGCAGAGCACAUACGCUAUGACCCGAAAGAUAGUGAACUAUGCUUGGCGAGGGUGAAGCCCCAGGAAACUGGGGUGGAGGCCCGUAGCCGUUGUGACGUGCAAAUCCA
This 1104-nucleotide ribosomal RNA is filed under the name Paracaprella pusilla. RNAcentral's name for it is "partial large subunit ribosomal RNA". It matches the Rfam family "Eukaryotic large subunit ribosomal RNA", at positions 86 to 901 of the family's 3401-position model. The record is from RNAcentral. Lineage: Eukaryota; Metazoa; Arthropoda; Malacostraca; Amphipoda; Caprellidae.